Lolium perenne is the source of this 1024-nucleotide long non-coding RNA. RefSeq lists it as uncharacterized. The record is from RefSeq and is a predicted model, not a curated record. NCBI's taxonomy places the organism in Eukaryota, Viridiplantae, Streptophyta, Magnoliopsida, Poales, Poaceae.
UUUGUGUUGGUUUCAAAUUAAUUUACAAACAGUUUUCUAAAAGCAAACAAAGGAGAAAAACCCCAAAAUCUAACCUACCUUCCCGGGCUUCCCCUCUCUCUGUUUUCCCUCUGGCCCGAACCAACCCCAGUCCACCUCCCUUCCUUCUGGCCCAUCUUUUCUCUCCACCGCAGGCCCAAGCAGCUCGGCACCCAUCUUGGCCCGUACCCCUUCGGCCCUCCCCCACCUUCUUUUUCCUCGUCCUCGCUGGAAAGCGACCGAGCACGCAUGGCGCGUGAGGCCGUGGUCCUCACCACCGCACCGACGCCACCACCUGCUCCCUCCCCUCUCCUUAUCUCUUCCAGGACCACCGCACCUCACUUUCCUCCUCCCCCAAGUUUCCUCUCCUCCCCUUCUUCUUCCUCUGCAAGCAAACGGGAGAACCCCCCCACGGCAACCACCUCUCCGCCUUGGCGCCGCUGCUCCGGCCACCCCCUUCCCCGUCCGAGCACACCACCAGAUGCAUCUCGAUCUCCUCUACCACCUCCUGCAAGGAAUCGAGCCGCGGAGCCCUGCACGCGACGCCAUCGUCUCCGAAGUCUGCCACGGCUACCGGCGAAAAUCUUCAAUUCCGACGACCACCCUCCUCCUCUGCUCUCGCCGUCGACGCCUUGAGCUCCAGGGACCUCGUCGCCGGUCGCCUUCCGGUGAUCCCCAAGACGGCGCGCCACCACCUUCAGGUUCGCCUUGGCGAGACGCGCCGAACGCCUCCACUCGCGCUUCCGGGUACCCCCUGCAACGCCCGCCCGUGCGACGCCGCCCCGCGGUGACCGCGCCUCCCUGGAACGCUGCCGGCAUCGAGCAGUUGAUGUGCAGCCGCUCAAGAUCUGCCACGCUGGCGCCAGCUCAGCACCGCGGGCCCCUCCUGUCAGCGACCUGGGCUAACCCCCCUCCGCAUUUGCUUCUUCCCGGAUAGGAUCGCGAAGUGGUGUGGUGAGAUACGACAAGUUCUCCCGAUGUCCCUCGGCAAGCUUUAACAGGCAAG